AUAGAAUUUUAUAUUAACUUUACCUAGCGGUUAAUGCUGGUCUUUUGUUAAUAUUUGGUUGGGAGGAUUAUUAAAUUUAACAAACUUUAUAUCAUUAUAAACUUUGAUUUAAGAAAAUAUAAUGACCUUCAAUUUGAAAUAGUUAGAGUAAAUUACCUUAGGGAUAACAGCGUAAUAUUUUUUUAUAGACCUUAUAGAAAAAAAUGGUUGCGACCUCGAUGUUGAAUUAAGAUAAAUUUUAAAUGCAGGAGUUUAAUAAUUAAGUCUG
RNAcentral lists this ribosomal RNA (268 nucleotides) under Lepidotrigona ventralis. RNAcentral describes it as "partial large subunit ribosomal RNA". The record is from RNAcentral. Lineage: Eukaryota; Metazoa; Arthropoda; Insecta; Hymenoptera; Apidae.